AAGUCGUAACAAGGUUUCCGUAGGUGAACCUGCGGAAGGAUCAUUACCUCUCUGGGCUAUUUUAAUAGCCUUCGGGGGGCUAUAGUCUCUAUAGCCUCUGACUGAAUCCGGUUUUUUUACGUACUACAUGUUUUCCUCGGCGGGCUUUGCUCGCCGGUUGGACAACCUAAAACUCUUUGCAAUUGCAAUCAGCGUCUGAAUUAUUUAAUAAUUACAA
RNAcentral lists this unclassified non-coding RNA (217 nucleotides) under plant metagenome. Its description in RNAcentral is "partial contains small subunit ribosomal RNA and internal transcribed spacer 1". The stretch from base 1 to 46 matches the Rfam family "Eukaryotic small subunit ribosomal RNA", at positions 1786 to 1831 of the family's 1831-position model. The record is from RNAcentral.